This 67-nucleotide transfer RNA is filed under the name Congrogadus subducens (carpet eel blenny). RNAcentral describes it as "tRNA-Ser". The record is from RNAcentral. Lineage: Eukaryota; Metazoa; Chordata; Actinopteri; Pseudochromidae.
GAGAGAGGCUUGCAGCAACAAAGACUGCUAAUCUUUGCCCCCAUAGUUGAAUUCUACGGCUCACUCA